RNAcentral lists this ribosomal RNA (443 nucleotides) under uncultured Pelagibacterales bacterium. RNAcentral describes it as "bacterial SSU rRNA". It matches the Rfam family "Bacterial small subunit ribosomal RNA", at positions 1077 to 1533 of the family's 1533-position model. The record is from RNAcentral. Lineage: Bacteria; Pseudomonadati; Pseudomonadota; Alphaproteobacteria; Candidatus Pelagibacterales.
UGGGUAGUCCGCACGAGCGCACCUCAUUUUUAGUUGCCAUCAGGUAAUGCUGGGAACUCUAAAAAAACUGCCGGUGAUAAGCUGGAGGAAGGUGGGGAUGACGUCAAGUCCUCAUGGCCCUUAUGUGUUGGGCUACACACGUGCUACAAUGGCAUUUACAAUAGGAAGCAAGAUGGCGACAUUAAGCAAAUCCUAAAAAAAUGCCUCAGUUCGGAUUGUACUCUGCAACUCGAGUACAUGAAGCUGGAAUUACUAGUAAUCGUGGAUCAGCGUGCCACGGUGAAUACGUUCCCGGGUCUUGUACACACCGCCCGUCACACCAUGGGAGUUGGUUCUACCUUAAGGCAAAGUUUAAAACCUUUGACCACGGUAUAGUCAGCGACUGGGGUGAAGUCGUAACAAGGUAGCCGUAGGGGAACCUGCGGCUGGAUUACCUCCUUUCU